RNAcentral lists this unclassified non-coding RNA (275 nucleotides) under Rhodotorula toruloides. The record is from RNAcentral. Lineage: Eukaryota; Fungi; Basidiomycota; Microbotryomycetes; Sporidiobolales; Sporidiobolaceae.
CUCGAGCAGCGAUACUGCCGAGUCGAGUGCCUCAUCAGCUGCGCAUACGAGCAAUCGAGACCGUUCUCUGCAGGUCGGGCAUGCCGGCGGUUCCUCCGGGUGCGCAUCGGGAGAGUCGAUGACGUUCAUGAGGCACUCUUCGCACAAGAUGUGCUGAUUCUCGCAGGCAAUGACGGGCUGCCAGGCGACAUCUUGACAGACUAUGAACGAGCAAGCACAGCGCCUGCGGGACAGGGUCGAGGAAGUUGUCGAGGUCGGCCGGCAUGUCCGGGACC